GGGGCUGACUUGGAUUUCGACAGAUUUCUUGUCGCACAGACAGCAUGCCAAGCGCUGCUUGUAAAACAGCAACAAAAAUAACUGUAAACAACACAGAUUACGCUCCAGCUUACGCUAAAGCUGCGUGAGUUAAUCUCCUUUGGAGCUGGACUGAUUAGAAUUUCUAGCGUUUUAAUCACUCCAUAACCUUAAGCUAGACGCUUUUAAAAGGUGGUUCGCCUUUUAAACUAAGAAACAGGAACUCUUGAAACUACCUCAAGGUUUUAGAAAGUUGGACCAGAGCUAGUUUUAAGGCUAAAAAACCAACCAAUUUUCUAAGCAUCGUAGAAGUUUGUGUUUAGGGCAAGAUUUUUGGACUGGGGUUCGAUUCCCCACAGCUCCACCA
RNAcentral lists this transfer-messenger RNA (385 nucleotides) under Helicobacter pylori. It matches the Rfam family "transfer-messenger RNA". Rfam says of the family: Bacterial tmRNA, also known as 10Sa RNA or SsrA, is named for its dual tRNA and mRNA-like properties. Lineage: Bacteria; Pseudomonadati; Campylobacterota; Epsilonproteobacteria; Campylobacterales; Helicobacteraceae. The record is from RNAcentral.